RNAcentral lists this long non-coding RNA (282 nucleotides) under Daucus carota (carrot). RNAcentral's name for it is "long non-coding RNA (DCAR_LNC002869)". The record is from RNAcentral. Lineage: Eukaryota; Viridiplantae; Streptophyta; Magnoliopsida; Apiales; Apiaceae.
AGAUAGUUUUGUAGAUAUCCAUUAUACCUUUCGAAUAAAAGUAAAAUAUCAAUUCAUGCUCUCUUAUGCAUAAUGAUUUAGGCAUCUUUUCUGAAACUUUAGUGCAUGAGGUAGCCAACAGGGACGGACAAGGCUCCUCAAUCGUAAAGGGAAGGCACCUUCUUUUUGGAUGAGACAGAUGGGACUUUAAUGGACAAACAUAGACUGAAAAUUUGUGGAUAUACAUAUGUUUGGGAUGAUAUUAUUGGCUCCGUACAGAUUUGUUUGUAGAAGCAUAACGAC